Molecule: transfer RNA, 58 nt
Filed under: Pseudoalteromonas sp. NZS127
Lineage: Bacteria; Pseudomonadati; Pseudomonadota; Gammaproteobacteria; Alteromonadales; Pseudoalteromonadaceae
Description: tRNA-Lys
Rfam family: tRNA
About the family: Transfer RNA (tRNA) molecules are approximately 80 nucleotides in length. Their secondary structure includes four short double-helical elements and three loops (D, anti-codon, and T loops).
Source: RNAcentral
AGCUCAGUUGGUAGAGCAGUUGACUUUUAAUCAAUUGGUCGAUGGUUCAAAUCCAUCA